UCAGUAAUGACCUGAGCCAAAUGUGUAUCUGGAAUGCUACUGUCUCAAAAGACAGGCCUGCUGGUUUUACAGUCUUGAGCCCACAUAAUACAAAACCAUGAGUGAUUACAUGAGGAAUCAGCUAUGUGACUAGCCUGCACAAAAUGACAUUCACCUCGCUCGACAAAAGUAUUUGUGAUAACAGUGACGAUGAUGAAAGACCAUGAAGACAGGCAGAGGGCUUUUUGAUGGUAUCAGAGCGCCUGUUUCUGUAUUGGCUCUUAGUGAUGAAUAAAUCUAUUGUUAUCCCAGGAAAUAUCAUCUUGCAAAUGAAGGACCAUCUUCAACCACUUAGUGGAAUCCCAUUACCGGAGAAUAUGACAUAUGGAAUUUGUUGCGUCAUUAUGAAUAAACAGUUUUUGGCUUGUAAUCUUGCUCACAUCCUCUUACACGCGCGCGCGCCCGCACACAAACACUGCGGUGAAAUGAAGCAUCUACAGUUUAAUAUGCCAGUAAAGCUGCUCUACUUUUUAGACGUGUUAAAGUUGUUUUUCUUCCGGACAAUGACCCAACACACCUCCAGGCUGUGUAAGGGCUAUUUUACCAAGGAGAGUGAUGUAGUGCUGCAUCAGAUGACCUGGCCUCCACAUUCCCCCAACCUCAACUAAAUUGAGAUGGUUUUGGAUAAGUCGGACCGCAGAGUGAAGGAAAAGCAGCCAACAAGUGCUCAGCAUAUGUGGGAACUCCUUCAAGACUGUAUGUAAAAGCAUUCCAGAUGAAGCUGGUUGAGAGAAUGCCAAGAGUGUGCAAAGCUGUCAUCAAGGCAAAUGGUGGCUAUUUGAAGAAUCACAAAUAUAAACAAUAUUUUUAUUUGUUUAACACAUUUUUGGUUAAUACAUGAUUCCAUGUGUGUUACUUCAUAGUUUUGAUGUCUUCACUAUUAUUCUACAAUGUAGAAAAUACUAAAAAUAAAGAAAUACCUUGAA
Molecule: long non-coding RNA, 965 nt
Organism: Oncorhynchus nerka (sockeye salmon)
Lineage: Eukaryota; Metazoa; Chordata; Actinopteri; Salmoniformes; Salmonidae
Exons: 2
Source: RefSeq, a predicted model, not a curated record